GUUGGUUUAGCUUAGUGGUAGAGUGUAUGAUGUCCUGGGUUCAAACCCCAGCUUCUACC
This 59-nucleotide transfer RNA is filed under the name Dallia pectoralis (Alaska blackfish). RNAcentral describes it as "tRNA-OTHER". The record is from RNAcentral. Lineage: Eukaryota; Metazoa; Chordata; Actinopteri; Esociformes; Umbridae.